RNAcentral lists this transfer RNA (72 nucleotides) under Bos taurus (domestic cattle). It matches the Rfam family "tRNA". Rfam says of the family: Transfer RNA (tRNA) molecules are approximately 80 nucleotides in length. Their secondary structure includes four short double-helical elements and three loops (D, anti-codon, and T loops). RNAcentral also lists the same sequence under 4 other names. The record is from Rfam by way of RNAcentral. Lineage: Eukaryota; Metazoa; Chordata; Mammalia; Artiodactyla; Bovidae.
UCCCUGGUGGCUUAGCUGGUAAAGAAUCUGUCUGCAGUGCAGGAGACCUGGGUUCAAUCCCAGGGUUGGGAA